AUUAAAUCAUAAGAAGAAAAUCACGUCCUUCUCCUUUUCUCUAGACUUGAUUGGAUUGUUUGCUCAUUGGAAAGUAAAAUAUUCUUACUGAAUUAGAGGAUCCCCAUGCAAAGCACCCCAUCAACCCAAAUACAGAUUACCAGCAGAGCAGCUUGAUAUAAAUGUGACGUGGAAGGCAAGAAAGAAGCUACCAGACUUGAAUACUGCAGCCUGUCAACCUGCUUGCCUAUCAUGCUAAUAAUAUGUUUGUGCUGAUUUAGAUUAGUUCAUUAAUAUAUUAAUGGGUAGAUUUAGUAGUAUAGUUAAGAGCUGUAAUGCAAGAAAUCUGCUAAAGGCCGUUUGCAAGAUCAGCAGAAGCUAGGGUUAGCAUAUUUCUGUGGUUGAGACACUGAUCUCACCCAGAUAUAGGUCAUAGCUUAUUUAGAGCUUCCGUAGACUGAAAAGGGGAACUUAUGUCUGGGACCUUUCACCCACAUAGGAUGGUAGGGAAAAUACCCUUAGACUCAGCAGAUGCAUCAUUAUAUAAAAAAGUCGCAAAAUAACUGGUUCAGGCUGAGCUGAAGUAAUCAGGACACAGGAUAUGAUAAAUAACCACAGAGGC
Non-coding RNA from Pelodiscus sinensis (Chinese soft-shelled turtle), 601 nucleotides. NCBI's taxonomy places the organism in Eukaryota, Metazoa, Chordata, Testudines, Trionychidae. The record is from RefSeq and is a predicted model, not a curated record.